This 526-nucleotide ribosomal RNA is filed under the name Entrophospora etunicata. RNAcentral describes it as "SSU rRNA". The record is from RNAcentral. Lineage: Eukaryota; Fungi; Glomeromycota; Glomeromycetes; Entrophosporales; Entrophosporaceae.
GCUCUGUAAUCAGCUCAUAGCGUUAUUAAGUUGUUGCAGUUAAAAAGCUCGUAGUUGAAUUUCGGGAUUGACACAUCGGUCGUGCCUUAAGGGGUAUGAACUGGUGUAGUCAAUUUCUCACCUUCUGGAGAACCGCGAUGCCCUUAAUUGGGUGUCACGGGGAACCAGGACCUUUACUUUGAAAAAAUUAGAGUGUUUAAAGCAGGCAUUUUGCUUGAAUACAUUAGCAUGGAAUAAUAAAAUAGGACGGCAUGAUUCUAUUUUGUUGGUUUCUAGGAUCACCGUAAUGAUUAAUAGGGAUAGUUGRGGGCAUUAGUAUUCAAUUGUCAGAGGUGAAAUUCUUGGAUUUAUUGAAGACUAACUACUGCGAAAGCAUUUGCCAAGGAUGUUUUCAUUAAUCAAGAACGAAAGUUAGGGGAUCGAAGACGAUCAGAUACCGUCGUAGUCUUAACCAUAAACUAUGCCGACUAGGAAUCAGACGAUGUUAAUUUUUUAAUGACUCGUUCGGCGCCUUAMCGGGGAAACA